UGAUCUCCUGGUUUAGUCAGUCUGUCGUCAAGUUUGUAGGUGGACUGGGUUUGUCAUGGCAGCUCUCAUUUGGCAUCCUGACAUUGCUCUAUUUCUAUUCUCACUACUUCUUCGCCAGCGGAGCAGCACAUAUCGGAGCCAUGUUCACUGCGUUCUUGUCGGUUGCCAGCGCGUUAGGUGCCCCGCCUCUAUUUGCAGCAAUGGUCCUUGCAAUCUUCUCUAAUCUUAUGGGUGG
This 235-nucleotide unclassified non-coding RNA is filed under the name Hevea brasiliensis (rubber tree). Lineage: Eukaryota; Viridiplantae; Streptophyta; Magnoliopsida; Malpighiales; Euphorbiaceae. The record is from RNAcentral.